This 254-nucleotide ribosomal RNA is filed under the name uncultured bacterium. RNAcentral's name for it is "partial 16S ribosomal RNA". It matches the Rfam family "Bacterial small subunit ribosomal RNA", at positions 524 to 776 of the family's 1533-position model. The record is from RNAcentral.
UACGGGGGGGGCAAGCGUUGUUCGGAAUUACUGGGCGUAAAGGGCGCGUAGGCGGCCACCGCAAGUCGACUGUGAAAUCUCCGGGCUUAACCCGGAACGGUCAGCCGAUACUGCGGGGCUAGAGUGCAGAAGGGGCAACUGGAAUUCUCGGUGUAGCGGUGAAAUGCGUAGAUAUCGAGAGGAACACCUGCGGCGAAGGCGGGUUGCUGGGCUGACACUGACGCUGAGGCGCGAAAGCUAGGGGAGCGAACGGG